GAUGAAGAACGUAGUGAAAUGCGAUAAGUAAUGUGAAUUGCAGAAUUCAGUGAAUCAUCGAAUCUUUGAACGCACAUUGCGCCCGCCAGCAUUCUGGCGGGCAUGCCUGUUCGAGCGUCAUUUCAACCCUCGAGCCCCCCCGGGGGCCUCGGUGUUGGGGGACGGCACACCAGCCGCCCCCGAAAUGCAGUGGCGACCCCGCCGCAGCCUCCCCUGCGUAGUAGCACACACCUCGCACCGGAGUGCGGAGGCGGUCACGCCGUAAAACGCCCAACUUUCUUAGAGUUGACCUCGGAUCAGGUAGGAAUACCCGCUGAACUUAAGCAUAUCAAUAAGCGGAGGA
Molecule: unclassified non-coding RNA, 343 nt
Filed under: soil metagenome
Description: partial contains 5.8S ribosomal RNA, internal transcribed spacer 2, and large subunit ribosomal RNA
Rfam family: 5.8S ribosomal RNA (bases 1-120)
Source: RNAcentral